Molecule: RNA transcript, 6351 nt
Organism: Drosophila teissieri
Lineage: Eukaryota; Metazoa; Arthropoda; Insecta; Diptera; Drosophilidae
Gene: Slik
Gene name: serine/threonine-protein kinase 10
Exons: 13
Source: RefSeq, a predicted model, not a curated record
CUGUUUUUGCCCUUGGCGAAGGCAAAUAGUGCUGCUCUCUUCUGGCACAGAUGACCUAAACGGCCAUUUUUGGCCGGCGCUGCCAGAUCGCCAAACAGGGUGCAAUUGCAGCUCAGUGGCAACACGAAGCGUUUGCGCGAGAGAAAUUUCUAAGCAUUUUCGGGGUAAAAUACGCCUUAAAUGGCUUAGUGUGCGGCAAAAACAGUCGAAAUAGCGAUAGUGCAGUGAUUGAUAAGGCCGAAAGCCGUGGAAGUGACUGUGUGCGAAUGAGAGCUCGCUAGCUGCUAAUUAAAUUAUAAAACAUACAGAACACAGAAGCGCUAAAGACGGGCCAACCAAGCCCACAAUCCCCGCUUUUUGGCCUAUUUCGCUGAAGAAAAGAGAAGGAACCGAGGAGAGAGUGCUGCAAAGAAGCUUUCACCAAAUCUAGUUUUCCUGCUUGGACUCUCGCCCAGGAGCUCACUAUGUAGACUCAACCCAAGAAAUCAUCAUCGUCAGCAGAAGCAGGGGAAAUCUACAAGAGAGCCAACAUGUCGUUUAUCACCAACCUGAAGAAGGUCUUCCACCUCGGCGGGGGUGAGGCCAAGAAGAAGCGCCUGUACAACAACAUCAAGAUGGACACGGAUCCGGCGGAGUUCUGGGAAAUGGUCGGCGAACUCGGCGACGGUGCCUUCGGCAAGGUGUACAAGGCCCAGCACAAGGAGCAGAAGCGCUUUGCUGCGGCCAAAAUGUGCCAGCUGGAGGACGAGGAGAACCUCAGCGAUCACAUGGUCGAGAUCGAUAUUCUUUCGGAGAUCAAGCACCCAAAUAUUGUGGAGCUGUAUGAGGCCUUUUCCAUCGAUGAUAAGCUGUGGAUGCUCAUCGAGUACUGCGAUGGAGGAGCCCUCGAUAGCAUUAUGGUGGAGCUGGAAAAGCCCCUGACUGAGCCGCAGAUUGCCUAUGUUUGCAAGCACAUGACCGAGGGUCUUACCUUCCUGCACCGCAACAAAGUCAUCCAUCGUGAUUUAAAGGCAGGAAACGUGCUUCUCACAAUGGAAGGUGGCGUCAAAUUGGCGGACUUUGGCGUCUCUGCCAAAAACAAGCACACCAUGCAGAAGCACGACACCUUCAUUGGCACUCCUUACUGGAUGGCCCCGGAGCUGGUGCUCUGCGAAACGUUCCGGGACAACCCGUACGAUCACAAAGUUGACAUCUGGUCACUGGGCAUCACGCUCAUCGAGCUGGCGCAGAUGGAGCCGCCCAACAGCGAGAUGUCGCCCAUGCGAGUGCUCCUGAAAAUCCAAAAGAGCGAGCCGCCCAAGCUGGAGCAGCCUUCUCGAUGGAGCAAGGAGUUUAACGACUUCCUGAAGAAGUCCUUAGUCAAGGAUCCGCAAGUGAGGCCCACGACGGAUGUGCUGAUGCAGCACGCCUUCAUCAACAGAAAUCUGGACGCCAAGCCCAUCAAGGAUCUGCUGCUUGAGUACAAGGCCGAGGUCGUGGAAGAGGUGGUGGAUGAUGAGACCGAGGAACCCCGCAACUCGGCGCUCCAGCUCGACCUGGACGAUGACUCUGCUUCGCUGCAGAGCCAAGACAUUGACAAACUUCCAGGUACACCUACAUCCAUUUUGCGGGAUGCCAAAGAGCAGUCCCAACCAAGUAGCAGUUUACCAAUCGCAGCAGCGGCAACUGCAGCAGCAGCAGCUACAACCACAACUAAAGCAACCACUCCGGACAGACCAAACAACACAAAGGAUGACAAUGCUGAAGCGGCAGCCCAGCAGCCGCCGCAUACCAAAGUGCCUGCUCCAGCGCCGCCGUCGUCCCAACAAACGCCACCACCGCAAGUUCAGCAGCCACCUACACCACCAGCCCAAACCACAGCGGCUGUGCUGCAAAAGAAACCCGAGGAUGUGGUAGCUGUUGCAGAAACAUCUGAAAAAACCGAUUCCGACAAGAAGCACUUUGUCAAAAAGGGUAAGGCCCCGCCCCCGCCGUCACCAUUGGGCCUUGCAAAUGCCAAGCCGGCUGCCAGCGAUUCCCAGACGUCUCCCAAGAAACUGGCCACUCCCGAACCCGCUUCUCCAGUCACCACGGCUAUUGAGGUGGCCAUUGGCCAAGAAGCGAUGGAGCCGAAACCGCAGCCGCCUUCGCCCACAGCCUCCUCCAUUGUGUCAGUGCAAUCGGUGGCCUCCUCCAGCUCCUCGGGCAGUGUCUCGAAUGCUGUUCUCAGUUCGAGCACUUCCCUUAUUACCAUCAACAGCGAUCCACCCACACCGCAGCAUCACCAACCGCUGCCGCUUCAACCGCAGCACUUGGUUUUGCCAAACAGCUUGGAGUCGGUGAGUCAGAUUACAGUCGUGACUAGCACCCAUCCGCCGGUGAUCAUCGACAACUCGGUGGUACCGCCGCAAAACGAAGUGAUCAUCGUGUCCAACGAUCUGAACAAGAGCACUCACCUGCAUGAAUCCUCGACGGACGACGAUUUUCCAUCGCUGGACGACAGUUUGGGCGAUGCCAGCACUCCGCCCCACAAGCAAUCCUCAAUGAUAUUGGCUGUUAACGAGCCAGCAGGGGUGCUUCCUGCUCCUCCGUCGCAACCGCAAACUUCUUCCACUGUUCACGCCCGCAAACUGGACGAAAGUGAGGUGUUAAUCGUGAGUCCGUCCUACGCGGAUGAUGACUCGGCCUAUAACACUGCGUCUGGCAGUCAUAGCCAUGAUCACAGUGACCAUCUGAUGGACACGAGCCACGUCUCCGUGGUCACCGUGGGCGAUGAGGGAGUCAAGGUGAAGGACAGCAGCAAUGAGCUGGGCAAGCGCCAGCCCAAUGGAGUUGGCAUAGUGCCGGAAGACGUAAACAUCAUUGUAAACCGAUUCAAGCACGAGAAGCGGUCGCCGGACAGCUCGCUGAGCGAGAAUGGCUCGGUGCGCGGACGCCGUGGUAUUGAGGUGCUGGUUGGCGGCAGCGGAGGAUCUGACGUGGACAGCAUUGGCACAAACACUAGUCAGGAAAGCCGGCACGAAACGGAUCACAACAACAAGCAGCAGUAUCCAGCGGCCGCGCUGAUGCCUCCACCACCUCCCUCGUUGACGAAUAACCACAAUCACGAGACCAUUGAUGAGGAAGAGGAGGUGGUGAUCCGGCCCAAGGCUAGGGUUCCCCCCGUAGUUAAGUCUGCAAACUCUCAAGGUCUCACCAAGGAAGAGAUUGAGCUGCGCAACCUGCGCAAGAAGACACGCAAGCGCACCCGCAAAUUCGAGAUUGAUGGCGUGCAAAUGACAACAACCACAAGUCGAGUGAUUUACGGAGAUGACGAGAACGGACGAAUCUACGAUGAUCACGACUUCCGAAAGCAGGAGCUGCGUGAGCUAAAGAUGCUGCAGAAGCAGGAGAAGAAACAGCAGACAGAGCUGCACUUAAAGGAGCAGCAGGCCAAGGAACAGCAGGAUCGUCGCUUUGAGCAGGAGCGCUCCUCGCUGGAAAAGACCUACGAGGCGGACAUGGAUAUGUUGGCGCGUCAGCACAAGCAGCUGGUGGAAAAGACAGAGCAGACGCAGGAGAACGAGCUGCGCUCCUCAUCUAAACGCAUUCGCUCCGAGCAGGAGCAAGAGUUGAAGAUCUUCCGAGAGAAUCUCAAGCAGGAGAUCCGACUGCUCAAGCAGGAAGUUGACCUGUUUCCCAAGGACAAGCGCAAGGAUGAGUUCAAGCAGCGACGUUCAGCCAUGGAUCUGGACCACGAAGAGAAGGAACGCGCCUUCCUGGAUUCUCUAAAGGAGAGGCAUGAACUUCUACUUAGGCGCUUAAGCGAGAAGCACCGGGACCACCUGGCCACCAUCAACCGAAACUUUUUGCAGCAGAAACAGAACGCCAUGAGGACGCGGGAGGCACUUCUCUGGGAACUAGAGGAGAAGCAGCUUCACGAACGACAUCAGUUGUCCAAGCGGCAUGUUAAGGAACUAUGUUUCAUGCAGCGACAUCAAAUGAUAAUCCGGCACGAGAAGGAACUGGACCAGGUGAAGCGCAUGUUGCAGCGUAAGGAGGAGGACAUGGUCAAGAAGCAGACGAUGGAGAAGCGGGCGCUGCCCAAGCGCAUCCGGGCGGAGCGCAAGGCGCGAGAUCUGAUGUUCCGUGAGUCCCUGCGCAUUUCCACGAACCUAGAUCCUGAAAUCGAACGCGAUCGCUUGAAGAAGUUCCAGGAGCAAGAGAAGAAGCGGUAUAUGCAGGAGGAGCGACGCUUCGAAGUCAAGCAUCAAAAGCAAUUGGAAGAGCUGCGCGCCACACGUGAAAGCGCCAUAAAAGAACUGGAACAACUUCAGAACGAAAAGCGAAGGGCUCUGGUGGAGCACGAACACUCCAAGCUUUCCGAGAUCGAUGAGCGACUGAAGGGGGAGCUGCGCGAGUGGCGCGAACAGUUGGUGCCCCGUAAACAGGAGCUGAACAAACAGAUCACGCUGGCCAUUGAUCAGCACGAAAAGCGCUUUGGCCUUGUGGCCAACCGCGAGGAGUUCGAGGAUCAGGAGGUCAUGCUGCCCGCUUAUCUGCGCAACAUCUACAACGAGCGAUCCUCGCGCAUGCUACCCCGCAACACCUUUAUCGAUCCUCAAUACAUGCCGCGCUCUCGCUCCUCGCUGCUAAUGAUGGGGGGCGGUGGCAACCGACUGUCCAAUUUCCGCGGAUCAGCUCCAGAUCUUAGCCGCAGUGUGCCCAGCACUCCUAUCAUGCACAAACAACAGAGAUCGCAGAUGAUAAGCGAUCUGGUGCUGGAAGAGGACGAGGAGCAGAUGCUGAGCGAGCAGAUGAAGCGAGCCAGCGUCACCACGCUUCCGGCGCAAAACCAUCUUCGUCUUAUUACGCAGCUUCCGGCCAACGAGCUAGUGAAGGUAGUGACCUCCACCCCACCACUGAACAGCGCGGAGGAUGUGAACUCCAAGCCAGCCAUGAGCACCUUCAGAGGCAGUACGCCGCCCAAAACACCAGAUGAUCUGGGCUUGGUCACCAAUCGAUUCAGCCGCUUGGACACCAAGGCUGCGGCGGAGGCCAGCGGCGUGGAGCUGCGCAUUCACGAGGGCCCAGUGCUAACCGCCCACACGCAGCGGCUCCUGCACACCACCUCCUUUGCUAUCAAGCGACCCUCGCUGGCCAGCCGGAGCAGCGGCAGAUCGUCGCUGAGCAGUGCACAGUCGAUGUACAACAUAAACGAGCUGUCCACGCGGUUCGCCAGCGAUGCGGACCUCAUCUUUGACUCCGGACGCAAGGCAGCCGCUCUGCUGGACGAAGUGCAGCCGCAGCUGCGGUCCUCCGUCAAGCCAGGACACAGUCGCACCAAUGGAAGCGUCGCUUCGGCUGACUCCGCCGCCUCUUCCGAGGAUAUCUACUACGAUCUGUUUGCGGCGCAGUACAGACUGCCGCGAGUCAAUCAGCGGCAGCACAGCUGCGAGGAAGACUCAUCGGCCAUCUAGAAGACAAACGCGUAGAUCAUCGCGAUCAGCACUUGCCACGUUUCAGCAGCCAGUUUCCCGCUUGCACCUCAUCUACUAUACUAACCAGCCAAUCAACCUGUACUCACACCUACUGACACCGAAUCAACCUGCUUUACAUUCCUCGCUGGUGCUGGCUAACUGCACAUCCCUCGUAGUCCCCCCUUCCCCAAACUCUUCAUCCUGCUAACCGAAUUUGUAAAGCUUUUCUCACCUAUUUACCUGCAACGGAAAAUGCCAUACAUUCUGUCUUGCCAAAGUUGAUUGUUUGUUGGAAAUGCUAUUUUAAUGAACGAAAGUGGAUUAAUUGUUUGCCUAUUUUUAAUGUUAAAGUAUUCUCUUGACUUGGACCAGCCCUCCGCCUCCAAAUGCAUUCCAUUUAAGCAGUAUUAUCGAAGUACUUAGUAAACGAAAGUGAAAAAGAGUAUAACGAGUGUAAUGAAUGAUAAAGAUAAUACAAUCCACAUUCCACUUAGCAACAUGCCAAGCAUUUGUGUAGCCAUAUCUUACUCUAAACAUUCUUACAACUAUGAAAUACUUACAAAUAAAUAUUAUCAUAUCGCAAAUUUCAUGAUGCUUCACUGUACACACCCACUCUUAUAUAUAAACACCCACAUGCAAACAACAACGCGCUGCUAUCGAAAACCAAACCAAACCAAAACAAACCAAACAAAAACCAAACCGAAUCAAAAAUCUGUAUCCAAAAACUUUUCUUGCCGGCUCUCCUCUUCUCGUAAUGUGUAAAGCAACUACAGCAACGGCUGCAACAAGAGCGCCUGGAGGAGACCUUCGCCCAGCAGCUGGACGAGAUGGAGACCCUGUACGGCGGCGCCCUGAUUGUGUCCAUGCCCUCGGACACGCUGCAACGAGAUCACUUCACCGGCUCGACGCGCAG